AUUGAACGCUGGCGGCAUGCCUUACACAUGCAAGUCGAACGGUAGCGCGGGGCAACCUGGCGACGAGUGGCGAACGGGUGAGUAAUGCAUCGGAACGUGCCCUGGAAUGGGGGAUAACGUAGCGAAAGUUACGCUAAUACCGCAUAUUCUGUGAGCAGGAAAGCAGGGGAUCGCAAGACCUUGCGUUCUGGGAGCGGCCGAUGUCGGAUUAGCUAGUUGGUGGGGUAAAGGCCUACCAAGGCGACGAUCCGUAGCUGGUCUGAGAGGAUGAUCAGCCACACUGGGACUGAGACACGGCCCAGACUCCUACGGGAGGCAGCAGUGGGGAAUAUUGGACAAUGGGCGCAAGCCUGAUCCAGCCAUGCCGCGUGAGUGAUGAAGGUCUUCGGAUUGUAAAACUCUUUCGCCGGGGAAGAUAAUGACGGUACCCGGAGAAGAAGCUCCGGCUAACUUCGUGCCAGCAGCCGCGGUAAAGCGUAUGU
This 482-nucleotide ribosomal RNA is filed under the name uncultured bacterium. RNAcentral describes it as "bacterial SSU rRNA". It matches the Rfam family "Bacterial small subunit ribosomal RNA", at positions 30 to 532 of the family's 1533-position model. The record is from RNAcentral.